GGUUGCUGUGCCAGUUCCGCUUGCGCUGGUUGAUGAACCAGUUGUUGAUCUGCUUCAGCUGUAGCCCCGUCUCCUGCACCAGCCGCGCCUUGUCCUCCUCCUAACAAACCCACACACCACACCAGAGAGAGAUCGAUUCAUGACCAUCGGUCGCAGCAGCGGAGCAAAAAUUGCAGGUAACGAAAGGGUGGUGACGAUGGUAUCUGCACUGCGGGCUGUCACUUACAGUUGGGUACGGCCAUUUCGCGUGGGCUUGCCACCAAGCCUUCAGGGUGGACGCCGUGUCUCCCGGGAGCUUCCCGGCCCUUCGCUUCCGGAGUAUCUCUUCCCUGAUGUCCACAAGCUUUUCUCUGUACCCCUGCAAGCCAGGAAUUUUGUUUAGUUCAGACAACUAACAAACAUGGUGGCAGCUGACAGAAUGGUAGUGCAGUAAGUUUUACCUGUUUAAGCUCGUGCUUCAGCUCUUGCCUGACGCGCUCGACCAAGGAUCUCUCACCCUCGGUUAGCAUCCCGAAGCCCAUGCCAUCGGACACGUCGUUUCCGUCGAACAUGUUGCUCUCGCUGUCGACCGGGUUGUCUUCAUCAUCAGACAUAGUUGCCCCGGUGCCUUCGCCAGGAGAUGCCCCUAUGUGAAGAACCAAUAUUAGCAGAACUCAGAACCGGCCAAUCUCCAACUUAUCUUAUAAGAACAGGUAUGCCUAUAUAGACAGGUUCGACAACUUAAGUCUGUAACUCUUGUAACUAUAUACUACUCCCUCUAUAAACUAAUAUAAGAGCAUUUAGAUCACUACUUUAGUGAUCUAAAUGCUCUAAUAUUAGAUUAUGGAGGGAGUAAUAUAUACUAGGAACUUAUCUUGUAAUAAAAGGUAUGCUAUAAAGACAGGUUUGACAACUUGAGUCUGUAACUAAUACUAAUAUAUAAGAACUUAUCUUAUAAGAAAAGGUAUGGCUAUAGAGACAGGUUCGACAACUUAAGUCUGUAGCUAAUACUAAUAUAUAAGAACUUAUCUUAUAAGAAAAUGUAUGGCUACAAAGAUAGGUUGGACAACUUAAGUUUGUAACUCUUGUAACUAAUACUCCCUCCGUCCGGAAUUACUUGUCAUAGAUGUAUAAAAAUGGAUGUAUCUAGAACUAAAAUGCAUCUAGAUACAUUCAUUUCUCUGACAAGUAAUUCCAAACGAAGGGAGUACUAAUAUAUAAGAAACCGAAAUGAUACUGCUAUAAAGAUGGACCUAGUAUCUCAUAGAACCUACAAGGGUGUGAAUUAUGACCUAUAUUUUCUAUCAGGGAAUGCAACAGUAGAGGAAAUAAGGGUCAAGUCAUCGAGCUCUCCCUAGUUGAAUCUUGAAAUGAUUAACUGUUUGUGUUCUAUCGCUGGGUGCAGAGAGCAGAAGUAAUAAAACCCUUCUUCUAUUUAUUUUUGCUGUGGCGGAAGAUCCCCUAAUAGGACCUACAAUUCCACUAUCUCAUAGGAAGUAAUAAAAAGUUUUGUAGCUAUGUUAGUUCAUUUUGUAACCAUGAAGUGUUCUUCAAUAUGCGAAACUUUUUUGAACCAGAGAAGGGGGCUUCUUUUCCUAUAUGAAUUGUCUGCCUUUUCGACGAGCAACAUGAAAUAUCUGAAAGGGUACCCCUUAUGUGAUGGUUCCGUAUUAUAUAGUCCGUGACUGUUGCGCGUGGAAGCUAAUUGCACUAGACGCAGUAAGAGAAGCUUUAUCAGGACAGCUUAGCUAAGAUUAUGAACGCGAGGUACCGUCAGUUCAGUUGCGUGGUUGGUGCGACACAAGGGUGUAACUGAUAAUAUCAAAAAGGGAACCGCCACAUACACCCAACUGAAAUCUCAAAAGGUAUAGCUUUAAAGCCAGGUUCAACAGCUUAAGUCUGCAAUUCUUGUAACUGAUAAUAUCAAAAAGGGAACCGGUACUACUAUAGUGGACCUAGUAUCUCAUAGGACCUACAAGGAUGUGAAUUAUGACAUAAAUUUUCUACCAGGGAAUGCAACAAUAGAGGAAAAAAAGGGUUGAGUCAUCGAGCUCUUUCGAGUUGAAUUUUGAAAUCAUUAACUACUUGUGUUAUGUGUGUAUUCGCUGGGUGCAGAGAGCAGAAGUGAUAAAACACUUCCUUUUAAAUUUUCGAGUUGUGGCUAAAGAUCCCAGAAGACGGUGUCCCCCACUCUAAGUAGCACGAUAGUCACUAUGACUAACAGUUAACAAGCAUGUAGUGUACAUAUUACACAAAAUACUCUUCCUAGAGAACUUGAGAAGCACAUAUCUUGCUGUUGAACUGAUGAACUUAAGAUGCUCUGUUCUUACCUGUAAGACUCUGUAAAGUCUGCUCGAGCUCCCAGCAAGCCAUCACCGCUUCCAUGGCGUGGACGCGCACAUGCUGCUGGAGCUGUUCCUUGAAGGAACAGAGGAGGAGCACGUAGUGUGUCUGCAACAAAAAAGGAGAGCAAAACCUUUAAGUAUAACAUAUAUAGAAAAGGCAUGGGGUCAGUCAAUAUGAUGAUGUUACAUGAGGCAGGAGGAUUGCCAUUUCCAGGCACAAGAAAAGGCUACUGCUAAGCGAAGGUACACUUGUAGUAUUUUUUGGUUUGCUUUUGUCUCUAUCGCAGAGGUGAGGCGCUUGUGGUUGAGAAAACAAAGUUGCUCACAGCUAGAGCCUGGAGCAUACUCCUAGCAAGCAGUAGUUUAUUUGCAGGUGGGAUGGGUAAUAAUCAGGUGAUGAACUAGCAUGAUAUUCGCAGCUGAAGAACCUAAGCUAAACCAAAUCCACCGGCAGAAAUUAGCGAGUACUAAUCCCAUUUAAUCUCCUAUGCAAGUUGCAACAAAUCAAACAUGUUUUGUGCAUUCGAAAAAAAGGUAAUCUGGCUAGCCCGUUUGAAACCCCAAUCCCGACACGAGCAGGGCAAUUCCAUGGCCAAAUCACAUCCAAUCCCCAAGUUUUCAAACCACAAACGCACGCACGCACGCACGCCGCGUCAAUCUGCUGCUACUGCCGGAGCACGCGCGGGGCAGCCGACGUGGCGUGAAGGAAGGGCGUCUCGUAGUAGCAGCAGCUCACCAUGAAGAGGUCGAGCUCCUCGCCGCCGGAGAGCGCGCCGGCGGGGGGCAUGGGAGGCGGGGCGCGCGCGGCGAUCUGCGCGUCGAUGCGGGGGAGCUGGUCGACGGGGGUGGCGACGCGGAGGCAGGCGACGUGCGCCUCCAGCAGCCGCUCGUACAGCGGGUGCGCCNNNNNNNNNNNNNNNNNNNNNNNNNNNNNNNNNNNNNNNNNNNNNNNNNNNNNNNNNNNNNNNNNNNNNNNNNNNNNNNNNNNNNNNNNNNNNNNNNNNNUAUUUGCAACUCGAAACAGGAACUGCGGAAUAGGCGAAGGCUGGCAAAAGAUGAAGUGACGAUGCGCGUAGGAAAUGGUUGCAAGGUUGAUGCAAUCGCCGUCGGCACAGUGUCACUUCAGUUACCGUCAGGAUUAGUGAUGAACUUAAAUCAUUGUUAUUUAGUGCCUGCGUUGAGCAUGAACAUUGUAUCUGGAUCUUGUUUAUUGCGAGACGAUUACUCUUUUAAAUCAGAGAAUAAUGGUUGUUCUAUUUCUAUGAGUAACAUCUUUUAUNNNNNNNNNNAUCUCUGGAUCUUAAGUCUGAGAAUAAUGGUUGUUCUAUUUCUAUGAGUAACAUCUUUUAUGGUCAUGCACCGAAUGUGAGAGGAUUGUUCAUAUUGAAUCGUGAUAGCGAUACACAUAUACAUAACAUUGAGACCAAAAGAGUUAGAGUUAACAAUGAUAGCGCCAUAUUUUUGUGGCACUGCCGCUUAGGUCAUAUUGGUGUAAAGCGCAUGAAGAAACUCCAUGCUGAUGGACUUNNNNNNNNNNNNNNNNNNNNNNNNNNNNNNNNNNNNNNNNNNNNNNNNNNNNNNNNNNNNNNNNNNNNNNNNNNNNNNNNNNNNNNNNNNNNNNNNNNNNAGAUAGAACUUGACGAGGUUGUCGAACCUCUCAUCCCUCUGGAUGGUGGCGCAGGGCAAGGGGAAACCUCUGUCAUUGCGACGCCGGUUGAAUUGGAAGUUGAUGAUGAUGAUCAUGAAACUCCAGUUCAAGUUUAUGUCGAACCACGCAGGUCGACGAGACCACGUGCUGCUCCAGAGUGGUACGGUAAUCCCGUCUUAUCAAUCAUGUUGUUANNNNNNNNNNGUUGCGACGCCGGUUGAGGAGGAAGUUAAUGAUGAUGAUCAUGAAACUCCAGUUCAAGUUUCUGUUGAACCACGCAGGUCGACGAGAUCACGCGCUGCUCCAGAGUGGUACGGUAAUCCCGUCUUAUCAAUCAUGUUGUUANNNNNNNNNNGUACUGCCUGAGGGCCGCAAGGCCAUUCAGAACAAAUGGAUCUUUAAGAGGAAGACGGACGCUGACGGUAAUGUGACCGUUUAUAAAGCUCGACUUGUNNNNNNNNNNGACAACAAUGAACCUGCAAAUUAUGAAGAUGCAAUGGUGGGCCCAGAUUCCAACAAAUGGCUAGAAGCCAUGAAAUCCGAGAUAGGAUCCAUGUAUGAGAACAAAGUGUGGACUUUGGAGAUACUACCUGAGGGCCGCAAGGCUAUUCAGAACAAAUGGAUCUUUAAGAAGAAGACGGACGCUGACGGUAAUGUGACCGUUUAUAAAGCUCGACUUGUGGCAAAGGGUUUUUCACAAGUUCAAGGAGUUGACUACGAUGAGACUUUCUCACCCGUAGCGAUGCUUAAGUCCGUCAGAAUCAUGUUAGCAAUAGUUGCAUUUUUUGAUUAUGAAAUCUCGCAGAUGGAUGUCAAAACGACAUUCCUUAACGGUUUCCUUAAGGAAGAGUUGUAUAUGAUACAACCCGAAGGUUUUGUCGAUCCUAAGAAUGCUAACUAGGUGUGCAAGCUCCAGCGAUCCAUUUAUGGACUGGUGCAAGCAUCUCGGAGUUGGAACAAACGCUUUGAUGAGGUGAUCAAAGCAUUUGGGUUUAUACAAGUGGUUGGAGAAUCUUGUAUUUACAAGAAAGUGAGUGGGAGCUCUGUGGCGUUUCUAAUAUUAUAUUUGGAUGACAUAUUACUGAUUGGAAACAACGUAGAGUUUUUAGAGAGCAUAAAGGAUUACUUGAAUAAAAGUUUCUCUAUGAAGGACCUAGGAGAAGUUGCUUACAUUCUAGGCAUUAAGAUCUAUAGGGAUAGAUCAAAACGCCUGAUAGGACUUUCACAAAGCACAUACCUUGAUAAAGUUUUGAAGAGGUUCAAAAUGGAACAGUCCAAGAAAGGGUUCUUGCCAGUUUUACAAGGUACGAGAUUGAGUAAGACUCAGUGCCCAGCAACUGAUGAAGAUAGAGAGCAUAGGCGCUCCGUCCCCUAUGCUUCAGCCAUAGGUUCUAUCAUGUAUGCGAUGAUGUGCACUAGACCGGAUGUUAGCCUGGCCAUAAGUAUGGCAGGUAGGUUCCAGAGUAAUCCAGGAGUGGAUCACUGGACAGCGGUCAAGAAUAUCCUGAAGUACCUGAAAAGGACUAAGGAGAUGUUUCUCGUGUAUGGAGGUGACGAAGAGCUCGCCGUAAAAGGUUACGUCGAUGCAAGCUUUGACACAGAUCCGGACGACUCUAAGUCGCAAACCGGAUACGCAUUUAUUCUUAAUGGGGGUGCAGUAAGCUGGUGCAGUUCCAAGAAAAGCGUCGUAGCAGAUUCUACAUGUGAAGCGGAGUACAUGGCUGCCUCGGAGGCGGCUAAGGAGGGUGUCUGGAUGAAGCAGUUCAUGACGGAUCUUGGAGUGGUGCCAAGCGCACUGAAUCCAAUAACCUUGUUCUGUGACAACACUGGUGCCAUUGCCUUAGCAAAGGAACCACGGUUUCACAAGAAGACCAGACACAUCAAACGACGCUUCAACCUCAUCCGCGACUACGUCGAGGGAGAGGACGUGAAUAUAUGCAAAGUGCACACGGAUCUGAUAGUCAGUUGGUCAAUGAUAGUCAGUGUCUUCUGAUUAUGAACAAGGUGUUGUUGCUUGAUAACNNNNNNNNNNNNNNNNNNNNNNNNNNNNNNNNNNNNNNNNNNNNNNNNNNNNNNNNNNNNNNNNNNNNNNNNNNNNNNNNNNNNNNNNNNNNNNNNNNNNGGGGGGGGGGGGGCAACCCACCCCGGGGAAGCCCAUAGGCCUUGGGGGAGACACACCAGCCCUUAGUGGUCUGGUGGGACAGACCACAAGUGCCCUAUGCGCCAAGGAGAAGAAAAUCAAGAGAGAAAGAAAAAAAAGGAGGAGGUGGGAAGGAAGGGGGACUCCCUCCCACCAAACCUAGUCCAACUCGGUUUGGGGGGGGGGAGAGUCCUCCCCCUUGGCUCGGCCGACCCCCUUGAGGGUCCUUGGACCCCAAGGCAAGGCCCCCUCCCUCCCACCUAUAUAUGCGGAGGUUUUAGGGCUGAUUUGAGACGACUUUUCCACGGCAGCCCGACNNNNNNNNNNAGAGGUUUUAUGGCUGAUUUGAGACGACUUUUCCACGGUAGCCCGACCACAUACCUCCACGGUUUUUCCUCUAGAUCGCGUUUCUGCGGAGCUCGGGCGGAGCCCUGCUGAGACAAGAUCAUCACCAACCUUCGGAGCGCCGUCACGCUGCCGGAGAACUCUUCUACCUCUCUGUCUCUCUUGCUGGAUCAAGAAGGCCGAGAUCAUCGUCGAGCUGUACGNNNNNNNNNNCCGGAGCGCCGUCACGCUGCCGGAGAACUCUUCUACCUCUCCGUCUCUCUUGCUGGAUCAAGAAGGCCGAGAUCAUCGUCGAGUUGUACAUGUGUUGAACGCGGAGGUGCCGUCCGUUCGGUACUAGAUCGUGGGACUGAUCGNNNNNNNNNNNNNNNNNNNNNNNNNNNNNNNNNNNNNNNNNNNNNNNNNNNNNNNNNNNNNNNNUGGAGGUGCCGUUCGUUCGGCACUAGAUCGUGGGACGGAUCGCGGGACGGUUCGUGGGGCGGAUCGAGGGACGUGAGGACGUUCCACUACAUCAACCGCGUUUCUUAACGCUUGUGCUGUGCGAUCUACAAGGGUACGUAGAUCGAAUAUCCCCUCUCGUAGAUGGACAUCACCAUGAUAGGUCUUCGUGCGCGUAGGAAUUUUUUUGUUUCCCAUGCGACGUUCCCCAACAGUGGCAUCAUGAGCUAGGUUCAUGCGUAGAUGUCUUCUCGAGUAGAACACAAAAGUUUUUGUGGGCGGUGAUGUGCGUUUUGCUGCCCUCCUUGGUCUUUUCUUGAUUCCGCGGUAUUGUUGGACCGACAUUACGCGUACGCUUACGAGAGACUGGUUUCAUCGCUACGAGUAACCUCGUUGCUCAAAGAUGACUGGCAAGUGUCGGUUUCUCCAACUUUGGUUGAAUCGGAUUUGACCGAGGAGGUCCUUGGAUGAGGUUAAAUAGCAAUUCAUACAUCUCUGCUGUGGUGUUUGCGUAAGUAAGAUGCGAUCCUACUAGAUACCCAUGGUCNNNNNNNNNNUAUAAGGUUAAAUAGCAAUUCAUAUAUCUCCGUUGUGGUGUUUGCGUAAGUAAGAUGCGAUCCUACUAGAUACCCAUGGUCACCACGUAAAACAUGCAACAACAAUUAGAGAACGUCUAACUUGUUUUUGCAGGGUAUGCUUGUGAUGUGAUAUGGCCAACGAUGUGAUGUGAUAUAUUGGAUGUAUGAGAUGAUCAUGUUGUAAUAGUUAAUAUCGACUUGCACGUCGAUGGUACGGCAACCGGCAGGAGCCAUAGGGUUGUCUUUAAACUAACAUUUGUGCUUGCAGAUUCGUUUACUAUAUUGCUAGGACGUAGCUUUAGUAGUAAUAGUAUGAGUAGCACGACAACCCCGAUGGCGACACGUUGAUGGAGAUCAUGAUGAUGGAGAUCAUGGUGUGACGCUGGUGACAAGAAGAUCGUGCCGGUGCUUUGGUGAUGGAGAUCAAGAAGCACAUGAUGAUGGCCAUAUCAUGUCACUUAUGAAUUGCAUGUGAUGUUAAUCCUUUAUGCACCUUAUCUUGCUUAGAACGACGGUAGCAUUAUGAGGUGAUCUCUCACUAAAAUUUCAAGACGAAAUUGUGUUCUCCCCGACUGUGCACCAUUGUGACAGUUCUUCGUUUCGAGACACCACGUGAUGAUCGGGUGUGAUAGACUCAACGUUCACAUACAACGGGUGCAAAACAGUUGCACACGCGGAACACUCGGGUUAAGCUUGACGAGCCUAGCAUGUGCAGACAUGGCCUCGGAACACAUGAGACCGAAAGGUCGAGCAUGAAUCGUAUAGUGGAUAUGAUUAGCAUAGAGAUGCUUACCACUGAAACUAUUCUCGACUCACGUGAUGAUCGGACUUGAGAUAGUGGAUUUGCAUCAUGUACCACUCAAAUGACUAGAGAGAUGUACUUUUUGAGUGGGAGUUCUUAAGUAAUUUGAUUAGAUGAACUAAUUGUCAUGAACAUAGUCUAAUGGUCUUUGCGAAUUACGAUGUAGCUUGCGCUAUAGCUCUACUGUUUUUAUAUGUUCCUAGAGAAAAUUUAGUUGAAAAUUGAUAGUAGCAAACUUUGCAUACUGAGUCUGUAAAACCGAGGAUUGUCCUCGUUGCUGCGCAGAAGGCUUAUGUCCUUAAUGCACCACUCGGUGUGCUGCACCUCGAGCGUCGUCUGUGGAUGCUGUGAACAUCCGACAUACACGUUUCUGAUGACUACACGAUAGUUCAGUGCAAAAUACUUAAUGGCUUAGAAGCAAGGCGCCGAAGACGUUUUUGAAACGUCACGGAACAUAAGUGAUGUUCUAAAGAGAUGAAAUUGUGAUUUCAUGCUUGUGCCCUUGUUAAGAGGUACGAGACCUCCAACAAGAUUCUUCGUCCACAAAGUAAAGGAGAAAAGCUCAAUCGUUGAGCGUGUGCUCAGAUUGUCUNNNNNNNNNNACAAAAAUACUUAAUGGCUUAGAAGCAAGGCGCCGAAAACGUUUUGAAACGUCACGAAACAUAAGUGAUGUUCUAAAGAGAUGAAAUUUUGAUUUCAUGCUCGUGCCCUUGUUAAGAGGUACGAGACCUCCGACAAGAUUCUUUGUCCAUAAAGUAAAGGAGAAAAGCUCAAUCGUUGAGCGUGUGCUCAGAUUGUCUGAGUACGACAAUCGCUUGAAUCAAGUGGGAGUUAAUCUUCUAGAUGAGAUAGUGAUGGUUCUCCAAAGUCACUGCCACCAAGCUGUGAGAGCUUCGUGAUGAACUAUAACAUAUCAAGGAUAGAUACAAUGAUCCUUGAGCGAUUCGCGAUGUUUGACACUGCAAAAGUAGAAAUCAAGAAGGAGCAUCAAUAGUUGAUGGUUAGUAAAACCACUAAGUUUCAAGAAAAGCAAGGGCUAGAAGGGAUACUUCGUGAAACGGCAAAACAGUUGCUGCACUAAUGAAGAGACCCAAUAUUAAACCCAAACCCGAGACUAAGUGCUUCUAUAAUGAGGGGAACAGUCACUGAGGCGGAGCAACUCUAGAUACUUGGUAGAUAAGAAGGAUGGCAAAAGUCGAAAGAAGUAUAUUUGAUAUACAUGAUGUUGAUGUGUNNNNNNNNNNGAAAGUAGAAAUCAAGAAGGAGCAUCAAUAGUUGAUGGUUUGUGAAACCACUAAGUUUCAAGAAAGGCAAGGGCUAGAAGGGAUACUUCGUGAAACGGCAAAACAGUUGCUGCACUAAUGAAGAGACCCAAGAUUAAACCCAAACCCGAGACUAAGUGCUUCUGUAAUGAGGGGAACAGUCACUGAGGCGGAGUAACUCUAGAUACUUGGGAGAUAAGAAGGCUGGCAAAAGUCGAAAGAAGUAUAUUUGAUAUACAUGAUGUUGAUGUGUNNNNNNNNNNNNNNNNNNNNNNNNNNNNNNNNNNNNNNNNNNNNNNNNNNNNAGUUGCUAAGUGAUUAGUAACACGAAAUAAUAGCUACGGCAUAAACGGAGACUAGCUAAAGGCGAGGUGACGAUACGUGUUGGAAGUGUUUCCAAGGUUGAUAUGAUCAAAACGUCGCACACUCCCUCUACUAUCGGGAUAGGUGUUAAACCUAAAUAAUUGUUAUUUGGUGCUUGCGUUAAGCAUGAACAUGAUUGGAUCGUNNNNNNNNNNGGUUGCUAAGUGAUUAGUAACACGAAAUGAAAGCUACGGCAUAAACGGAGACUAGCUAAAGGCGAGGCGACGAUACGUGUUGGAAGUGUUUCCAAGGUUGAUAUGAUCAAACGUCGCACGCUCCCUCUACCAUCGGGAUUGGUGUUAAACCUAGAUAAUUGUUAUUUGGUGCUUGCGUUAAGCAUGAACAUGAUUGGAUCGUGUUUAUUGCAAUACGAUUAUUCAUUUAAAGAGAAUAAUGGUUACUCUAUUUGCUUGAAUAAUCACCUUCAAUGGUUUAUUGAAUCUCGAUCGUAGUGUUACACAUGUUCAUGAUAUUGGUGCCAAAAGGAUACGAGGUAAUGAUGAUAGUACCACUUACUUGUGGCGCUGCCGCUUGAGUCAUGUUGGUGUAAAUUGCAUGAAGAGGCUCCAUGAUGAUGGAUCUUUAUACUCACUUGAUUUUGAAUCACCGGUGACAUGCAAAUCAUACCACAUGAGCAAGGCCUUGUUUUCAUUGAGAUGAAACAAGAUAGUAACUUGUUGGAAGUGAUGCAUUUUGAUGUAUGCAAUCCAAUGGGUGUUGAGGCACGCAGUGGAUAUCAUUAUGUUCUUACUUCAAUGACGAUUUGAGUAGAUACAAGAGUAUUUACUUAAUGAAUCACAAGUCUGGAAUAUUGAAAAGUUCAAUUCUGUUUCAGAGUGAAGUUCGUCGUAACAAGAGGAUAAACUGUCUAUGACAUGAUCAUAGAAAUGAAUAUGUGAGUUACGAGUUUUGGUACGCAGUUAAGACAAUGUGGAAAUUGUUUCGCAGUUCAUGCCACCUGGAACAUCAUAGUGUGAUGAUGUGUCUUAACGUCAUAGCCACGCACUAUUUGGUAUGGUGCAUGCUAUGAUGUCUGUUAUCGAAUUACCACUAUCGUUUAUGGGUUAUGCAUUAGAGACAACCGCAUUCACUUUAAAUAGGGCACCGCGUAUUUCUGUUGAGAUGACACAGUAUAGACUGAGGUUUAGAGAAAUCUAAACCGUCGUUUCUUGAAAGUUUGGGGCUUCGACACUUAUGUGAAAAGGUUUCAGUCUGAUAAGCUCGAACCCAAAGCGGAUAAAUGCAUCUUCAUAGGAUAUCCAAAACAGUUGGGUACAUCUCCUAUCUCAGAUCCGAAAGCAAAGUGUUUGUUUCUAGAAACAGAUUCUUUCUCGAGGAAAGGUUUCUCUCGAAAGAAUUGAGUGGGAGGGUGAUAGAACUUGAUGAGUUUAUUGAACCAUCACUUCGACUAGUGUGUAGCAGGGCACACGAAGUUGUUCCUGUGGCGCCUACACCAAUUGAAGUGAAAGUUGAUGAUGGUGAUCAUCGAGCAUCGAAUCAAGUUACUACAAAUCUCGUAGGUUGACAAGGUCGCGUACUACUGCAGAGUGGUACGGUAACCNNNNNNNNNNAGGGUGGUAGAACUUGAUGAGGUUAUUGAACCAUCACUUCAACCAGUGUGUAGCAGGGCGUAGGAAGUUGUUCCUGUGGCGCCUACACCAAUUGAAGUGAAAGCUGAUGAUGGUGAUCAUCGAGCAUCGGAUCAAGUUACUACAAGCCUCGUAGGUUGACAAGGUCGCGUACUACUGCAGAGUGGUACGGUAACCCUGUCUUGGAGGUCAUGUUGUUGAGCAACAAUGAACCUACGAGUUAUGAAGAAAGCAAUGGUGGGCCCGGAUUCCGACAAAUGGCUGGANNNNNNNNNNNNNNNNNNNNNNNNNNNNNNNNNNNNNNNNNNNNNNNNNNNNNNNNNNNNNNNNNNNNNNNNNNNNNNNNNNNNNNNNNNNNNNNNNNNGGAAGAACUACUUGAUGGUCAUAGGACUAUUUAGUAAAGACGGAUCUCUAAAAGGAAGACAGACGAUGAUGGUGAUAAGUCACUAUUAAGAAAAGCUUGACUUGUCGCAAAGAUGUUUUCCGACAAGAUCAAACAGUUGACUAUGAUGAUACUUUCUCACUCGUAGCGAUGCUAAAAGUCUGUUAGAAUUAUGUUAGUAGUUGAUGCAUUAUUUAUGAAAUAUUGCACAUAGGAUGUCAAAACAUUGUUUCCUCGACGGUUUCCUUGAGCAAACAUUGUAUGUGAUACAACCAUGAGGUUUUGUCGAUCCUAAAGAUACUAACAAGUAUGCAAGCUCCAGCGAUCCUUCAAUGGACUGGUGCAAGCAUCUCNNNNNNNNNNUUAAGAACUACUUGAUGGUCAUAGGACUAUUGAGUAAAGAUGGAUCUUUAAAAGGAAGACAGACGACGAUGGUGAUAUGUCACUAUUAAGAAAAGCUCGACUUGUCGCAAAGAUGUUUCCGACAAGAUCAAAUAGUUGACUAUGAUGAGACUUUCUCACUCGUAGCGAUGCUAAAAGUCUGUUAGAAUUAUGUUAGUAGUUGCUGCAUUAUUUAUGAAAUAUUGCACGUAGGAUGUCAAAACAUUGUUUCCUCGACAGUUUCCUUGAGCAAACAUUGUAUGUGAUACAACUAGGAGGUUUUGUCGAUCCUAAAGAUACUAGAAAGUAUGCAAGCUCCAGCGAUCCUUCAAUGGACUGGUGCAAGCAUCUCGGAGUUGGAAUAUACACUUUGAUGAGAUGAUCAAAGAUUUUGGGUUUGUACAAGGUUUAUGAGAAACUUGUAUUUCCAAAGAAGUGAGUGGGAGCACGAUAGAAUUUCUGAUAAGUAUAUGUGGUUGACAUAUUGUUGAUCAGAAGUAAUGUAGAAUUUCUGUGAAGCAUAAAUGGUUGUUUGAAAGGAGUUUUUCAAAGGAAUACCUGGAUUGAGCUACUUGAACGUUGAGCAUCAAGAUCUAUGGAUAUAGAUCAAAACGCUUAAUAAAAGUUUCAACAAGAUGCAUGCCUUGACAAGUUNNNNNNNNNNGAUAGAUAAAAACGCUUAAUUGAAGUUUCAACAAGAUGCAUGCCUUGACAAGUUUUUGAAGGAAUUCAAAAUAGAUCAGCAAAGAAGGAGUUCUUGACUGUGUUGUAAGGUGUGAAUUUGAGUAAGACUCAAAACCCAACCACGGCAGAAUAAAGAGAAUAGACGAAGGUCGUCUUCUAUGCCUUAGUCGUAGACUCUAAAAUAUGCCAUGCUGAGUACCGCACCUGCUGUGUGCCUUGCAGCAAGUCUGUUAAGAGGUACACAGAGUGAUCCAGGAUUGAAUCACUGAUCAGCGGUCAAAUUUAUCCUUAGUAACUAAAUAGACUAAGGAAUUUUUCUCGAUUAUGGAGGUGGUUAAAGAGUUCGUCGUAAAGGGUUACGUCGAUGCAAGCUUUGACACUAAUCCGAAUAACUAUGAGUAGUGAAACGGAUUCGUAUAGUAGAGUAGAUAUUUGGAGCAUUUCCGAAUAGCACGUAGUAGCAACAUCUAUAAGAUGACAUAAAGAUUUGUAAAGAACGCACGGAUCUGAAAGUUUCAGAACCGUUGACUAAAACCUCUCUCACGAGCAAGACGUGAUCAGACCCCAAAACUAUAUGGGUGUUGGAUUCGUUAAAAUCACAUGGUGAUGUGAACUAGAUUAUUGACUCUAGUGCAAGUGGGANNNNNNNNNNCUCUAACGCUUCUGAUGUACGGUCUACAAGGGUACGUAGAUCUCUCAUCCCCUCUCGUAGAUGGACAUCACCAUGAUAGGUCUUCGUGCGCGUAGGAAAUUUUUUGUUUCCCAUGCGACAUUCCCCAACACUUUAACCUUCUCAUAACAUAUAUUGAUGACUUCAUGUUAUCCUUUGAAUUACUCACUUUGGCGGUCACAGUUUGAUUAUUGCAGUGCAUAAGAACACCCGACACAGGUUUCUCAACAACCGGUAAGUCACUCACCCACCAUCAUCAUUUCUCAAGAGCCGGCGAAGCCAAUCAGCUUUGAACGUAGUUGUAUCUAGUGAUGUGAGUUCUGUUUCCAUUGUUAACCUCAUUAAGAUGGUAUAAUUGCAAGACUUCCAAGAAACAAUGCCACCUCCAUGAGUGAAUACAUACCUGCUCGUGGCCUUUAUCUCAUCAGCACCACAUAUCUAGUUUGUGUCACUAUACCCUUCAAGUACAUUUGGCUAACCAAUGUAGUGAAUUCCAUAACUCGUAGUGCCUUUCAAAUAAUGCAGAAUUCUUUCAACGGCUUUCCAAUGAACAUCUCCUGGGUAUUAGACAAACCGACUCAGUUUGCUAAUAGCAAAAGAGAUGACGGGUCUCAUAGCGCUGGCUAAAUUGAUAAGUGAGCCAAUAAUUUGAGAGUAUUUCAAUCGGUCUCUAGCAAUUCUUUGAUUCUUUAGAAGCAACACGCUAGCAUCAGAUGGUGUUCGAGAGGGCUUGCAGUCACUAGAACCAAAGCGACUCGAGAUUUUUUUCCAUAUACUGAGAUUGAAGCAAUGUAAUCCCACCAUCAUCAUCUCUCAAGAGCUUGAUGUUCAGAAUAACAUCAGCUACUCCUAAAUCCUUCAUCUGAAAACAACAAGAUAGGAACUCCUUGACUUCCUUAAUAACAUUUAGAUUUAUUCCAAAAAACAAUAUGUCAUCAACAUACAAGGAAAGGAUAACUCCAUCGCCACCACAAUGGAGAUAUUACACACAUUUGUGAGCUCUGUUUACAACAAAGCAUGCAUUUGUUAGAGUUCUUUAAAACUUUUCAUGCCAGUGCUUAGGUGCUUUCUUAGGUCCAUACAAAGACUUCAACAACUUGCACACAUUUCCUUCCUAACCGUCCACUAUAAACCCAUCUGGUUGUUCCAUGUAUAUUUCCUCGUCCAACUCUCCAUUUAGGAAAGCAGUUUUAACAUCUAUUUGAUGAACGAGAAGACCAUGUGAGGUAGCUAGUGAAAGUAGUACUCGAAUGGUGGUCAGUCGAGCCACAAGUGAGUAAGUAUCAAAGACGCCUUUACCUUCCUUUUGGGUAUAACCCUUGGCCACGAGUCGUGUCUUGUAUUCCUCAAUAUUACCAUUAGGCCUAAGCUUCUUCUUGAAUACCCAUUUGCGAUCUAUAGGUUUGCACGCAUAAGGACGACCAAUGAUCUCCCAAGUUUCAUUUGCCAGGAUGGAAUCCAUCUCACUACGAACUACUUCCUUUGAGUGGUCAGCAUCUUCAGAUAAAUAGUCCUCGGAAAUAGAACUGGGAGUGUUAUGAGAUACACAAGAAAAUCAUCUCCAAAGGACUUUGCAGUCCUCUGUCUCUUGCUCCUUUUAUGAUUCUCAUUAUUGUCCUCCAUAUGCUCUUCAAGAUGUCACAUCAGAAUAGUAGGUUCAUGACAUGACAUGCAGUCAAUAUCGCUUCCCCCCACCAAGCCUUGGAGAAACCCAAUAUGUCUAACUUGGCGUUAACUAAAUCAUUUAACAAACUCACGAGGGCGCCCCAGGCUUUUUGCCACCUCGUGGCUCCUCGGGUCUUCUUCCGAGGUUCCCCGGGUCUCUUGUGGUCCACAAAAAAUCAUCAAAAAGUUUCAUUGUGUUUGGACUACGUUUGGUAUAGAUUUUUCGUAGAAGUCAAAAACACGCAAAAAACAGGAACUGGCACUGGGCACUAGGUUAAUGGGCUAGUUUCCCAAAAUGAUGUAAAAUAGCAUAUUAUUGCAUAUAAAGUAAACAAUAUUGGUAAUAUAAUAGCAUGAAACAAUCAAAAAUUCUAAAUAUGUUGGAGACGUAUCAGCAUCCCCAAGCUUAAUUCAUGCUUUUCCUCGAGUACGUAAAUGACAAAAAAAUGAUGUGGCAUGCUACCCAACAUGUAAUCUCUUUCAGGUGUAAUUGUUGAGAAAUGGUGGAGUAAUUGAUAUCAAAAUAAUAAUAUCCAUGAAUAUAAGAAUCAUAAUCAGUACUUUUUCAAAAUAUACUAUCCUUAAAGAAUGUUAUCCCUACUCAUUUGAUCAUGUUAGCAUGAUAUGACUCCGUCUUCACCGCAUAAGUAUAAAUCAUGAGCUCACGUGUGUCAAACCAGGUGAUACGUCCAUUUUGCAUCAUGAUUUCCUAUUAAUAUUUAUGUUAUUCUUGGUCAUUUUUCCAAUUUAUGAUACAAUUUUUAUGCCUUUUCUCUCUCUAUUUACAAGGUACAUCACAAAGAGGGAAAUCGUUGGGAAUUAGAAUUCUAGACCUAAAACCAAGAAAACGGGUGAAAAUACUUGACUCCAAAUGACCUGAAACUUCACAGAGAAUUUUUAUGGAAUAUAUAAUAAUUAUUGGUCCCAAAAUACACUAGACGGAGCCACCUACUGGCCAUAAGCUAACAAGGCGCCCCCUAGGCAUGCCGUGUUAGCUUAUGGGGCCUACGUAGGUGCCCUGGGCCCCUCGUCUCCUAUAAGGUGUGUUUUGAACAAGAAAAAAUCAAGAGGAUACUUUUGGGAUGAGGGGCCUCCAUAUUGAGGCAUAAAAUUGGGCACAGCCCCUUUUGCUCUCCGACAUAGAGAUUCUGUCGGGGAAACUUUUCUUCGAGAGGGGGAGGUCAAAGGCAUCCUCAUCACCAAUGCUUCCUCCUUUGUGGGAGAACCAAUCUUCAUCAACAUCUUCAUGAGCAUCGUCUGAUCUCAAACCCUAAUUCAUCACUUGUACUCACUCUUUGUCUCAAAACCUUAGAUUGGUACAUGUGGGUUACUAGUAGUGUUGAUUUCAUCUCAUAGUUGAUGUUUGUUGGUUUAUUUGGUGGAAAACAUUAUGUUCAAAUCCAUAAUCAUAAUUAUUACACCUCUGAUCUUGAACAUGUUGAUGAUGUGUGAGUAGUUACUUUUGUUCGUGAGGACAUGAGAGAAGUCUUGUUAUAAGUAAUCAUGUGAAGUUGGUAUUCGUUCGAUAUUUUGACGAUAUGUAUGUUGUUCCUUCUCUUAGUGGUGUUGUGUGAAUGUCAACUACAUGAAAUUCACCAUAUUACGGGUCGAAGGGAAGGAAUUGUGGAGUAAUAAUUAGAUGAUGUGUUGCUAGAGUGACAAAAGCUAGCUUAAACCCUUGUUUAUGCGUUAUUUUAUAAGGGGCUGAUUUUGAUCCACAUGUUCAUGCUAUGGUUAGAUUUAUCUUAAUUCUUCUUUCGUAGUUGCGGAUGCUUGCGACAGGGGGUAAUCAUAAGUGGGUUGUUUGUUCAAAUAAGAACAACACCUUAGCACCGGUCCACCCACAUAUCAAAUUAUCAAAGUCACGAACGCGAAUCAACUCAACAUGAUGAACAUGACUAGACAGAAAUUCCCAUGUUUCCUCGUGAGCGCUUGCUUCAUAUAAGAGUACUUUUAGACCUGUCCUUUUCUAUUAAAAUGAUUGGGAUAUCUUGUUGCACACUUGCUACUAUUUUUACUUGACACUUAUUACAAAUUAUCUUGCUACAAAACUAUCUAUUGUUGUUACUCACAACACUUGCAGAGAAUACCUUGGUGAAACUGCUUAUUUUUUCCUUCUGCUCCUCGUUGGGUUCAACACACUUAGUUACCGACAGGACUAUGAUUGAUCCCCUAUACUUGUGGGUCAUCAAGGCUCUUUUCUAGCACCGUUUUUGGGGUGUGAGGCGCCUUUGGUUAGAGGGAUUUGAUAAGGAAACAUGUUCGAUGCGAGCUGAAAUUUACUGUUGCUUGCUACUAUGGAUAGUAGCCAUUUGAAUGGUUCGUUUGAGGCAUCUUUGCCUCGAACGGAAGUGGAAAAAGGCACUUCUCAACCUACUGAAAAUAUUUAUUAUCAGAUUCCUUCGUUUAUGCUAGAGAAACUGCUAGCUAAUCCUUAUGCAUGACACGAUACAACUCAUCCUCAUUACCACUUGAUAUAUGUAGAUGAGAUUUUUGUAUUAUUUAAUCUUGCAAGUUUAUUCCAGGACAAAGUCAAUAAGAAGGUUUUCCCUUUAUCUUUGUAGGGAAAAGCAUUGAUGUUGUAUAAGAUAUUGGAUGAUAUUUGUAUUGACCAUUCUCAAAAUGAUUCAAGCCUGUGUGUAUCUACGCUAUCCCUGAAUUGGUAUGCUAGCACACACAGUACAUCAAUGUAUAUAUCAAAGUACAACCACAUGUAAUUAACGUUCAACUGAUAUAUACAUCAUGAGUCGCAACGAAAACAUUAAGGGUGUCGAGUCCCAUCAACGCCAAUGACAAGUUGAUGUGGGCCGUAACACUAAACUGUACUCUUACUCGUCGUAGAAGAAUCUCCUGCAAUAUGAUAUGUUGCAGCCGUAUAGGUCACUACAUUGAAUGUACCGGCAAGAUCGCAAUAAGAGAAAGCAGAUGAUACGACUAUUAUAUAUGCAAUAAUGAUUUGUCACUUUGUGUCUGUUUUGCAUAAAAGUUGAUUUAUUUUUGUUUUGGAAUAUCAGGAGUCUUCACUAUAGAGUUAUCUACCAUGACAUGGUUCCACCGACCGAUGUCUCAUAACCCACAAGUAUCAUAAGUUGCCCACAUUUAGUUAUCAAUCCGGUGUUGAGGGUUCGGAGAUGGAUCCAAGUCCAGAGACUCAAAUUGUCCGUAACCGGGGACAUGGCUAAUCGAUUAGGUUUUAACUCUACACACGUUUGCACACUUUACCGACAAGAUACGUUUCCCUCCUUGUAAGUCCUCGCACUGCGAGGUGUUUGAGGACAAGACAGAUGAAACAUGGUCUUUCAAAGAGUUUCCCUGACCCACAGCAGUGCCAAUCCAGUCCUAACGUCGACUACAUCUCGUACCACUGAUCCGGCCAAAGUCACCACAAAGAUCGACCAAGCCAGAACCCAUAUUGACUUUUCGUUUCACACGUAAGCAUCCAGGCAUGAAGUAUUCUUCCUUCUCUAUGAGUCCAUACCCAGCUCACUAGGCUAAUCCCACAUGGUAGAUCUCCGGGGAGACGUGGCUAUCCCACAUGGUAAACCUCCGGGGUGUCGUUUGAUCCAUUCCACCCAGUAGUGUGUAUUGAAAUAUUGUCUUGAGUCUUGAAGUCUUGAGGUCCUAAAGAUGGCAUCCCUGAAGAUGCCAUCAUGAAGUUGUCGUCAUUGAUGUAAGUCCUCCUUGUCACGCCACUCACGAUCACUCAUACCAAAACCCCGUCUACUAUAGAGUAAAAAUUAAAAUAAAUAACAUCUCGGGGCUUGAUAAUAGGGAGAUGGGUUCCUACCUCAUGCAUUAUACUCAACUACAAGAAGUCAAUACCACUAUGGGGGGUUGUUGUACUGUGACACUAAAUGCAAUAAAAUCAUAGGUAUGAAUAAAAUGGUCAAAGUGAACUUGCAUGGUAAAUUUAUGAAGAUAAUAAUGCUCUCAAAAAAUAACUUGGUAGAACUAUUCGUCACUCUCCGAUGAGAAUAUGUAUAGUCAAACAUUCCAUUCAUAUAAGCAAAUAAUUCUAGCAAUCAAUACAAUCAACUAAAAAGCAAAAAUAAUUACUAACAACUCUAGUAUUGAGAUGAAUGAAAUACUGAAGACAAAAGUUAAAACAACAAAACAUCAUCAAACAAACCAAGAAUAGUUUUCCUACAGUUAACCUAUUAUCAACAGCAACAAAGCAACAAAAUAAAACAAUAGUUAUUUCAGUGAAUACUUUACUAGCAAAAAGAAUUACAUUUGAAGAAGAAAAUAAAGAAAACUUUGAAUAGUAACACCCCAAAUAAUAUAAAUUUUUGUCCUAAUAAUACACAAGAGCAAAGAAAACACUAAAAAUAAAACUUUAACAAAAACACUAAAAUAUAAAACAACUAAAUAAACAGAACGUAUUUUUCAUAAAAUUUUGUUACCGAAAAGAAUUAAUUUCAAAGCUUUUAUCAAACUCUACUUAUGACCUAAACAAGGUUAACCUUGAAUUAAACAAAAAAAAUCAAAUUUAAUAGAAAUUAUUUCUGAUCCAAAAUAAAGUUAACAAAAUUAAAACUUAUACAACAAGUUAUUGAAAAUAUUUUCCAAAAGAAUUUAAUAAGCAUUGAUAUCAAUUUCAAGUUAUUUAUUAAACUAGAAUUGAUUCCAUGCAAAUCACGCUUAAAACAACAAACACUAAAAUAAAAAAUAAUUUUGUUGAGAAGCUUUUUAUACUUAAAAAAAAACUUAAAACAAUUGGUCACAAGCGGCAAAAGGAAUUAAUUUAAAAAUAUUUAAAACAAAUAAAUUAAAGGCUAAAGCAAGCAUAACUAAACAAUACUAUUUUUGGUAUAAAACCCUAAUUUAAACUAUUCUAAAAUUUAUAAAAUUAAACCUUCUUAUAAAUAAAGUCCCAAGGAACUAGUACAAAAGGGAGUCAACUCAAAACCUAUAUUUAAACAAAAGUUAUUCAUAAAAUAGUGAUUCAAACAAAUUUCAAUGAAUUCAAAUUUAAAGUACAUAAAUUUGAAAACUACUCGAACUAACAGAAAGUUUAUAAUAUUUGUGACCUAAUACAGAAAUAUUCAGUCAAACCUAUUUAAAACAUAAAAGAUAAAGCAAAAAACAAAAAGAGAAACUAUUAUGUUUUUAAAGUACAAACAAAAAAGAGAAAAAAACUAGCGAACACUAGGCCACGUGGCACGCUGUGAUAGGCCUACAGGUGUGCGCGUGUGGUGCAACACAGCGGACAACCCAGCUUUAAAAAGGAAACAUUUCGCAAUAAGUGAUCUAAUCUAGAGCGUUGAUCCAGAUCCAACGGUGGGGAAGAAGUCGUCGGCACUUACAGUGGGGAAAGAAGGUCCGGCAAGGGCUUGACGGCGGCGGGGCUUCACGCAACGAUGUGGGUGGCGUCUUUGGUGGUCGUCGACGGCGGUGGACAGAUCCAGUCAAUGGCGUCAAGGCUCUAACGCCGAUUGGUGGCGUGAUACGUCCAUUUUGCAUCAUGCUUUCAUGUUGAUAUUUAUCGCUUUUUGGGCUAUUAUUACACUUCACGAUACAAUACUCCUCUCAUCGGAGGGGACUCAUCACCAUCAACAUCUUCAUCAGCACCAUCUAAUCUCCAAACCCUAGUUCAUCUCUUGUAACCAAUCUCCGUCUCGUGACCCCGAUUGGUACUUGUAAGGUUGCUAAUAGUGUUAAUUACUCUUUGUAGUUGAUGCUAGUUGGAUUACUCGGUGGAAGAUUAUAUGUUCAGAUCCUUGAUGCUAUUCAAUACCUCUCUGGUCAUGAACAUAAUUAUGCUUUGUAAGUAGUUACUUUUGUUCCUGAGGACAUGGGAUAAGUCAUGCUAUAAGUAGUUAUGUGAAUUUGGUAUUCGUUUGAUAUUUUGAUGCGUUGUAUGUUGUUUCUCCUCUAGUGGUGUUAUGUGAAUGUCGACUACAUAACACUUCACCAUUAUUUGUGCCUAGAGGAAGGCAUUGGAAAGUAGUAAGUAGAUGAUGGGUUGCUAGAGUGACAGAAGCUUAAACCCUAGUUUAUGCGUUGCUUCGUAAGGGGCUGAUUUGGAUCCACUAGUUUAAUGCUAUGGUUAGACUUUGUCUUAAUUCUUAUUUCAUAGUUGCGGAUGCUUGUGAGAGGGGUUAAUCAUAAGUGGGAGGUUUGUCCAAGUAAGGGCAGCACCCAAGCACCGGUCCACCCACAUAUCAAACUAUCAAAGUAGCGAACGUGAAUCAUAUGAACAUGAUGAAAACUAGCUUGACAGAAAUUCCUAUGUGUCCUCAGGGAGCGCUUUACCUCCUAUAAGAGUUUGUCCAGGCUUGUCCCUUGCUACAAAAGGGAUUGGGUCACUUUUCUGCACCUUUGUUACUAUUGUUACUUGCUACUUGCUACGAAUCAUCUUAUCACACAACUAUCUGUUACCGAUAAUUUCAGUGCUUGCAGAGAAUACCUUGCUGAAAACCACUUGUCAGAUCCUUCUGCUCCUCGUUGGGUUCGACACUCUUACUUAUCGAAAGGACUACGAUAGAUCCCCUACACUUGUGGGUCAUCAUGGCAUCGGCGUCGGUAGGGGUGGUCGGAGACGAAUGGGGGUUGCUCUGCGAGGUCCGGCGGUGGCAAGAGCUCCGGAGAGGUAGUGUGACGGCGGCGGUGCGUGGGAGAGAGGUUCUAGGGGAACGGGGUGCGAAGAGAUCGGGCUUUAUGCCGGGGUUGCGGGUGAUAGAGCGGCAAGGGAGCGCGGGGAUCCAAUCGGAAUCAGCGAUCUCCGGCCAAGGCAAGAGCUCGGGCACAAUGAAGGAAGGGGAUGACCGCGUUUGGCUCGGGAUUGGGCAAGGCCCACGCGUCAGCGGGAGAGAGAGAGAACACGCAAUGGGAUCGACGGCCCAUUCGAUACAAAUUCGGAUCGGGUGGCGAAAUUUGGGCCCGAUCUGCUUCGCUAGGCCGCGCCACACGUUUCCUAAUAAACAAUGUUUUCCUUAAGAAACAUGUUUCCCCUUUUAUUUAAGAAUAGAAACAUAAAAGAUAAACAGGAAAAUGAAAAUAAUUCCAAAUAUAUAUAUAUAUAUAUAUAUAUAUAUAUAUGUGUGUGUGUGUGUGUGUGUGUGUGUGUGUGUGUGUGUGUGUGUGUGUGUUUUAUACUGAAUUGAUCAGAAAAAGAGAGUGGCCAGAGUAACAUUUUUCCACGGCCAAAAGAAAUAUUCUAAAAAUUGAUUUUUCUGAGAAUACCCAAAAUGGAUUUGAAAUCCUAUUCAAAUAUUUUCAAAAUACCCCUGGCUUUACUAGUCAAAUGCCUUUCAAAAAAUACCCUUGAAAUGGAGGGUCAUGUUUCUCCUCUCACUUUAUAAAUAUUCUCACAGGUUUUUUUGAAAUUUGAAAAUUCACAUAACUUCAAAUGGAAACCUUGGGUUUCAUAAAACUUCCAAAGGGAUUUCAAAAUCAUUUCUUUGAAACGUCCAACUCUCUUUCUUUUGAUUUGAAGAAGUCGUCUUAUCUCCUCUCUUGAAACUCCUUGAGUUGCAUAUAGUUUGUGUAAUUGAAAUGUUUCCAAAAUGGAAUUCAAAUCUUUUCAAAUCCCUUUUCAAAAAACUGGAAGAAGUCAUUUCGUCUUCUCUCUAGGUUUUGUAUUUGAAAUGGAUUCAAGUAUAGGAGGGCAAAUACAAAGUGAAAGUUUUGGGGAAGGUCAUGUUAUUCUCUCUCAUUCAAAGGUUUCAAAAAGUUUCAAAUUUCACUCAAUUUCAAUAAAUCACUCAAGCAAGCAAAAUAUAUAAUUGAUUAAUAUAACAUUUUAAAAUUUGGGAUGUCACAAACCUACCACACUUAAAAUGAAUCUCGUCCUUGAGAUUUGAAGAGGUUGGGAAGAAAAGGUUAGAGUUUUGGGGGGUCUUCUAGCAAAUCCGUUGGUCUUCACAAAAGGUCUCUAAUAUGUUCAUGGAAUAAAAAAUGUCUAUGGUUUUAUUUUAAAAAUAUGGGUUUAAAAAGUUUCACGAAAGUGUAAAUAAAAAGUAAAGAAAGUAAAAAUAACGAAUUGUGAAAAACAUUCAUCGAUUUUGAAAAAAGGUUAAUUUAUUUUGAAUAAAGUUCAUUGAACUGAAAAAAGGUUCACUAAUUUAGGAAAACAACAUUGAUUUUGGAAGAAGUUCAUCAAAUUUCGAACAAAAUCUCAUAAAUUUUUGAAAAAAGAUCAUCCAAAAUUGAAAAAGGUAUAUUGCUUUCUAAAAAUAUCCAUCAAAAAUUGAAAAAAGUUUACAAAAAUUAAAACAAAUGCUCUUUGAUUUGAAAAGGCUUGUUCAUUGGAAGCAAAUUUCAUCAAAAUAAAAAAGAAUGUGCAUUUUCGAAACAGGGAAAAGGGAAAAUAAAAGCGAGUAAAGAGAAGAAGAAGAAAAGAAAAAAAAGAAAAAAAGAAAAAACAGAAAAGAACCGAACAAAAACCAAUCAAUUAAAAACCUAAACAAAGAUCAAAACCGGAUAUAGCUCCCACCGGUUGGAACGUAGUUGGGCUGGGCCAUUUCCAAACGGACGUCAAAUAACGAAAUGCACAUUAACUAACGCUGAAGGCGCCGAAUAAAGGUACCCCAAAAGAGGGGGAGCUCGGAUGGAACCUCGGGUUGCUUACGCGCAAGCCUAGCCACUCGAAUAGCUAGGCUUUCUUGGUUACUAUGGCGCGCGAAGCUAAACUUAAUGUACAUCCGAACAUUUUAUCAAAUACCGAACACGAACAUUAAUUUUUUUUAAAGGUUUUUUUUUAAGAUUUUAGAAGUUUUGGAACAAAAAAUAAAAACCUCGAACAUUUUUUGAAUAUGUGAAAAAACAAUACAUAAACCGAACUCUUCUUUCAAAAUCACGAAAAAAAAUAAUAUGUGAACAAAUAAAAUUUAAAAUGGAUUUUUUUAAACUCUGAACAAAAAUUCGGAAACGUAAAUAUUUUUUAAAUCCUUGAAAAAAUUCUCAAAGAAGAACAAAUUUCAAAUUAGUGAACAAAUCUAUAAAACUGCGAAAACAUUUCGAACUGUGCACAAAUUUUGAAACCGUAAACAUUUCACAAAUUAUGAACAAAUUUCAAAUUUGUGAACAAAAUUAUAAAAUUGUCAACAUUUUUCGAAUUGUGAACAAAUUUGGACCAAUUAACAUUUUUAAAUUGUGAACAUAUAUUGAAACAUGAACUUAUUUAAAAUUAGGGAGCAACAUUAUAAAAUUGUGAACAAUUUUGAAUUGUGGACAAAUUUGAAACAAGAAAAAAUUUCAAAUACAUGAAGAAUCAUAUAAAAUUGUGAGCAUUUUUUGAAUUGUGAACAAAUUUUGAAACCACAAAUAUUAUUCAACUUCAAAUCAAAUUUUGAAACAAGAACGAAUUUCAAAUUAAUGAACAAAAUUAUAAAAUUGUGAAUAUUUUUCGACUUAUGAACAAAUUUGGAAAAUGUGAAUAUUUUUGAAAUUGUGAACACAUCUUGAAACAUGAACAAAUUCAAAUUUAAAACAUUUUUAAAAAGCAAGAAUAUUUUCUGCAGUUGAAGAACAAUCUUAAAACAUGAACUUAGUUAAAAAAUAACUAUAGAAAAAAAUAAAUAGACAAAGAAGAAACAGAAAAACAAAACAAAAGGAGAAAAAAACGUUCAGGAAACCUCCUAGGAGGUUCGCAAAACCGAUGGAAACUGAACUUGAGCUGGCCCCAGUUUUCUCGGAAGGAUGUGUAGAGGCCCGUCUAUUUGCCACAAAAUACGGCGAAUAGGGUAUUCCCAAAAACGGUGCUAUACUACCCAUCGCAACUGGAGGAGCCCGACACGGAUUGCCCUGCGUCAAGCACCUCCCUAAAUUGGGCGGCAAGCGCGCAGGAGGCCACAGGCCACUGCCUUGUUGUUUAUUUGUUUUUUGCAUGUAUAUUGUUUUCAUGUUUUGCCUCUUUAUUCUUCUUUAAAUUUAUAAAUAUUUGAUAAUAGAAAUUAGUUUACAUAAUAUAUUGUAAACCAAUUAACUAAACAUUUAAAACAUGUGAAAUGUGUAUAGUAAAAAAAAAUCAUGCAUUUAACAAACGUUAACUGUGUAUAGAAAGUUUGUUAUGCAUACAAAAACUAUAUUGAACGGAUACAAUGUGUAUGAGAAGAUGUUCAUCAUGUAUUUAACAAUAAUAAGCAUCUAUAAAAAUGAUUAUUGUUUAUGUGAAAUAUGUAUACUGUGUGUGAAAAUUGUUUAUAGCCACUAAGUAAAUGGUCGACGUGUAUUCAUAAAUGUUGGCUUGGUAUUCAAAAUAUAUUAAAUGUCUACAUAAAAAUGUAUUAUUCUUAUAUUCAAAAUGUACAGUGUCUAUGGGAAAAUGUACAUAAAAUAUAUUAUAUUUUGAAAAUGUUACUCCUGUAUUAUAAAAUAUUAAACAUAUAUGUAUAUAUAUAAUAUUUGUGUACAUAUAAGAUUAAUAUUAAAUUUGUUCCGAUAAAAAGUUGAUAUGUGUUGCACACAAAAGAAACAGAUGAAGAUUGGCAAGGAAAAAGAAAAAAAUGCAAUAAUAACCAAAACAAGAAAUAGAAACCAAAUAAAACCAGUGCAAAAGAACGAAACUAUAAAAGCCAAGAAAUAAUAAAAAACAGAUGAAACCAAGAAAGUAGAAAAACUAAAGAAAAUAGGAUAUAAAAGAAAACAAACAAACAAACAACGAAGGGGGGGGAAGGAAAGAAAACUGGAAUUGAACAAAGAAAUUGGUGGAAAAAACAAGAAACUUGUGAAGAUGAACCGAAAUAGAAAACAAACGGAAACGUAAAAGAAUGAACAGCGAAAAACAUACACAGUCACAACUAAGCAAGAGCGCUGUGAAACAAGUCGAAAAACAUACACAGUCAUAACUAAGCAAGAGCGCUGUGAAACGAGUCGGCCCAGUAUUGUACAUAAAAGAAAAGUGCCUCAACCGAGAUCGAAGUUGCUUUCGCUAGAAGCGAGAUAUAGCUCUUGUGACCCGAUACAGUCUUAGCCACUCUGUGCAUUCGGUUUAUUCGGUUUACCUGGAUUGGUUUCAUCUGUUUUCUGAUUUGCGGUAAAUAUCUUAUCAAGUUAAGAUACGGUUUGGUUUUGACAUCUUUACUAUUUAUAAAGUUGAAGUUGGUGGUGAGUUCACAUCUGGGACCAAUAACCUUUUUCAAUAAACAAAUCCAUCCCUACCCACAUUAAGAAUAGCAAUAUUUCAUGAACAUAAAUAAACAAAUGUAUUUCUGCUCACAUCUGGGAUCAAACACAAAUAAACAAUACACUACUAUUCAUGUGAGACUAACACUUGGGCACAAAUAACAAAUGCAGAAAUACGACUCCAACUCAAUAUAAUGCUCUUGUUUUUCUUUUUCUUUUUUCUCAGCCAAGUUAUUUCAGUUUUAUAUCACAGAACAAGAGAGUGAACAGAUAGUAAUUCGAAAAUGAUGAUAGACCUUAUCCUCCUACCUAAUCCACGACCUUGUGGAGUACCAUUGUCUAUUCUCAUAUGUUUUAACAUUCGAAAUGUUGUGUUUGUAAAGGAUCAUGGUCACUUAAGAUUCUACAAUGCCUCACGCGUGAUCUUUUGUGAUAUUUUUUAUCUUUUUAAUUGUGAAGCGUGAGCAAAUUCUGCAUGGCACCACACCAUAUUUUGACAAUUUACUAAGCCAGUUAUCUAACUCCUCGCAUUUUAUAGUUUCGUAGCAACGCACGGGCAUUCUGCUAGUAUACUAAAUUAUUUAUGUAUAGUUUCGAUAUAUAACAUAAAAACUAAAGUCAACGUGAAUUUGAUAAUAACAUAUAAUAGCUUGCAAGUUUAUGACUCAAAAAUCAAAAUAUAUGCAUUUUUAUACAAAGAGUACAUAGCUAUAUGCAAGUGUAUAUUCAUGCAUGGUUUUGGAUGGUUAUCGACGUACUUAGCAUUUUUUAAGAGAAAUAUGACUACAUUACAAGAUAAGUGAAUGUGCUUAACAGGAAAUUUCUCCUGUACAAAAAGGACUACUUAUAUGGUUGUUCGCCUUAAGAUAUAUAAAUAUAAUAUUUAUUUCCGUUUAUUUGGUUAACCAUUCUGUUUUUCAGUAUAUACCAUAAAAACCAAAGUCAAAAACGGUAUGAAUAGUUCAUAACAUACCGAAACCAUAAACCAUGAAAAUCAUUAAAUAGGUUUGGUUCGGUUAAUUUUUUGAUUCUGUUUUAAAAUGAAUAGCAUGAGUCCCAUGGUAACCUAUCGAUGGCGUCGUCGUCCUUAACCAUGGCACAUCCACCUCGCUAUGGCCGACGCUCCUGACCCUCUUCAUGGCUGGUGUCGCCUCCAGCUCUAGGAGAACAUCAAUGUGCCGAUCCCAUGCUCAACAGAGGAGGCAGGGCUGAGGUUUAAAAAAGGAGUAUGUCCUUCACUAUGUUCUUGUGGUGCUAUGUGACAAUGUCUGUCACGUGUCCUCCCUUCCCAUCCAGGCCUUCCUUAAAAGACCGACAUUGUGCACGCUAUUCAUGAACGGUAAGACCCACGUGUAGUCAUUCCGGGGCACGCACCAUGAAUAGUCACAUACCACCAAUGUCAUGCCCGUGCUAGUCCCCCUGUCUCUGCCAAUGACAGCAUGGGCACGACGCAGCCUUGACUUCCGACGCUUGGUUGGGGCAUGAGCUUGUGUACACGACGCGGGCUCACAACGAGUUGUCGACUCGUCGGUCUGGAUGCUCAUAGCGUGUCCAUUGAAAUGCCGCGUACAGAAAUAGAAAGUGAGGGUUGAAAGUAGAGAUUGCGGUUAUUUUACGAUUAAAAAAUGGCUCAAAGUGGCGUCCGCAAAUGUUUCCGGACAGAAAUUUGUCGAUCCUUACUGUAGAUGCUCUCGUACGCACUGCAUCGUCAUGCGCUACAAAACCCAUUUACCCCGACUAAGUUAUCGUUCUUGUGGCCCAAACGACACAGAUAACGGCGACAGGCGAGCGUCGUCUCUCCGACAGCAUCCACAGAUUGAGGACAAACUAAAUGAAACAUAAAAUUAAUGCAACAGAAUGAGCGGAAAAUGGGGAUGGGCGAUAGGUGUGGCGAUCUCGUCGUUCGCCAGAAAAAGCAGCCAAAACAUCAUCGUCCAUGGGAUCGCCAGGCCGGGAGGACGGUUCUGGCUGCUAGCAGACAGUGAUGACGAGGAUGAGGCAACCUCUACCGGAGGUAAGUCGGCACAAAUCGCAUCUCCGACACCUUCUGAUUCCAUCUGCGGGGCAUUCCAGGUGGGAUACUCGGAGGAGGAUGUCACCCGUGUUGUAGACGAACUGGUCCCGAUGGACGAUCUAGCAAGACUAGGGCUUCGAUCUGCGGACAAAAUAGAAGUCGCGAGGAGGGUAGUUCAUCGACGAAUAGCUGCAACAGCAGUCCUUGGCAUCGGCCUCUUCCUAAGGUGCGUUUGCCGAAACUGACUCUGUCUGAUUUCAUGUUAACCCCAUGGAAACUUGUCCGGAACAAGAAACACCAGCGACGAACGGCGAGGUCGACGUCGCAGGCGGCGGAUCCGGCUAGUCGGAUAGUUGAGAUACGUUCACAGUGUUUGAAUGAGCUUGUGGGCUUCUUGGGUCAUAUCAGAUCGAGCUAGCGGUGGGCUCCAACGAGGUUGGGUAUAUGGCCCAGCCAGGAGCCCAAGACGGUUGUGAUCGAGAGUGUCGUGAUCCGGCGAUAUGUUCGCCUAGUCCGCGCCUCUCUGUUGCGUUGGAGGCGUCAGCUAGGGUUCCGAGGCGUUCCAAUCGCCCUGGGUUUCCCGCUGUGUGCGCGGGCAGGGCGAGGAGGGUUCGGCCGCUCCUAUCGGCGAGCUCGGCCAUGGUUGGCCGCGGCAGCCAACCGAUGCCACCCAGGCAUCCGUCCAACGCUGGGUCUGCGGCGACCGGAGGAGCAGGACGUGCUGGGCAGAAAGAUGAUCUGCAGGCCGCUCAGGGCCGAGGUGAUGAUGGCGGCGGAGACCGGGGAGACUUUGGCGGCGACGUCGGAAGAGGUGACUAUGGUGGCGGUGGGAGAGGAUAUCAGAUGCACAUUGAUGGGAGCAACUUCACUCCUGGUCGCUGGGGAGAUGAUGGCUAUGGUGCAUACGGAAACGAAACUCAUCGCGGCUCCACCUCUACCGGCAGUGGCCGAGGGGAGGGAGGUGGCCGGGGUUUCGUUGCUCCCACCGGGCCAUAUGUUGAGGGGGCGUCGGGUCCUAGACAGCACUACCACCCUACUAUGGCACGCGGGGAGGAGGUAGAAAGCCGGCUGGGCGUCGUGACUCUCGCUCACAGGAUCCGACGCCUACCUUGGUGUAAGUGACGGAGGGUGUACAGUCGGCGCAUGCUGAUGGAGCCGCUGCUGAUCCUGCACCGCUUUCAGGGGAAGCAUUGGAAGUUGUACGAGCUCUAACCGGGUCUAUUGCUGCUGAGGCGAAGGUGGAUGAUGGUAAGGCUGGAGGUUCUGAUAAAGGGAGCGAAAAAUCUGAUAGUCAGAGAGUCACUAAGUGGGCUAAAAAGAAAGAAAAGCUGACAUGUUUCCGAUGUGGAGGACAGGGGCAUUUUAUAGCUGAGUGUUUUGUAGAGCUGUGUGACAUUUGUCGUAAGCCGAAACAUGAGCAGGGAGAGUGCCCUUUGCUCCUCGGGCCGAAGCCUGUGGUCACUAUCUACGGGGCUUGUUGCGCAGAACUUAUGUUCUUUGAGUCUACACGCUCAAUUUCGACCACGCCGUCUCCAGAGAGUUCGCGGACGGGUGUUGUGAGGGCGACACGUGGAUCGAUGACUUCGGAUCAGGUUGUGCAGCAUAUGCGGGAGCUGGUUUUUGCAAGGUUCCAGUGGAAUCCUAUCAAGUUAGAUGAUCAUCUUUUCAGGAUUGAUUUUCCUUCUAAGGAGGAUCUUGCGAGAUCGCUAAAAUUUGGAAUGAGCAAGGUCUCAAGCAAUAAUUGUGUUCUUGAGUUUGAGGCUUGGUCAUAGAAAGAGCCUGAAGGAACUCUGUUAUCAUAGUUGUGGGUCGGGUUUCUGGGUGCUCCGCGCACGUCGAUUGAUGAUUUCUUCGUGACUUGGAGCCUUGGAUCUCUUAUAGGCAAAACAUAAAAGGUGGAUAUGUCGUUUACUCGCGCUCAAGGGGAAGCAUGAUUACUGGUUAGUGUGAUUAGCAUUGAGCAUAUUCCAGAUACUGUGAAAAUGGACUUAUGAUGGGAAGGUUUUUGACCUGGACAUUGAGCUAGAGGAGACUGAUCAAUUCCAGGAGCUGGCCGAUAAUAUUGAUAUGGACACUGAGGAUGGCAACAACGGAGACGGGAAUCGAGAUGGGGGUUCGAAGGCUGGGGACGAUGCUGAUAGCGGCAAAACGCCCUUGGCCAAACCGGGAGUGUCUGGUUCUUCGACGGAACAAACACGCACAUCCACUCCGAUGAAUCAUUUGAGAUUUGGGUCGUUCGAAUCUUCUACGGCGCAUGGCAGACUUUGGGGUGCAAGGGUGGAGAUAGAUGAUCCAGUGGAGCACGAGCUGCCACCACUAUCACCACUUGCUUCCACGGGAGACUGAGAGAUUCCAGUGUCGCCAACUCGGACCUCCUUCAAGGAGUCGCCCACAAGUAUAAUGGUUGAGGAGGUGACGGCAGCGAAGCAACGACGAUCAAGAGUGAUCACUCCCACCCCUAAAGGGGACAUGCAUGCUUUGCAGACGGUUGGGGGUUGGCAGGUGGCCACACCCCAACGGCUUCGACGAUGUGUUUUUCUGCCAAGGGGGGCGCUACUGAGACUAACCCACUCUUGGGUCUGCUGGUGGGGCAUUCUUCAGGUGGUCACGACUACUCUUCCAGGCAAAUGACUGGUGAUCGUGUGUCCGUCGGCACUGGGCAGUCCAACCACGUUACACAGGAGUCCGGCGGCUUCCAUCUGCAGGAGCAUACCACCGAGGAGGUCAUCACCUUCGGAGGGAUUCCAGACCCGGCGACUGGAGAGAGGAGGACGAGUAGCCGUCUCCAGGCGCAGCCGGAUGUCGACGAUCUUCAGUUGGGCCGCUCCAUGCAGACGACCCAGCUCCAUGACUGUGAGACCACUACAAGUAUGUUCGUUGAUACAGAAUGUUCUAUCUUGCAUCUUUCCGAUGAUGAUAUUAUAUUACGGGCAAACUAAAUCGGCGUAUCUCUGGAUAACAAUGAAACAGAAAUAUCAAAGUUUGUUAAUGAUCUCUGAGAUUUAGAGGCUGAGCCAGCUAUGGACAUGCUUCGAAAUCUUGCAGCAGUUAAAUCCAUGAAUGAUUCUGAUAUUAAUGCGAGGCUUUAGACUCUCUUUGUGAGGAUCUUAGGACACCAUCUCUAUUGACUGAUGAGGGUAACGAUUAUGGUGUGGAGGAUUAUAUGGACCCUAUGCAACUUAAUGCAUCCGCACAGUCUGAGAGCGGUUAUAUGGACCGGAUGGCUGAACCGGAUAGGCACAAGCGCCCAUGGAAGCGCAAGGUCUAUCCUGAAUCUGUAGUGCGCAGAAGCGCGAGACUUAAGACUGCAAGAAAAAAUUGAUGAUAAAUGAGAGGAAUCUUUUGGAACAGCAGAGGUCUUGCGGACUUGGCUAAAAGAAGAUUUCUUACAGAAGCAACGUUAGAGCACAAGUUAGAUUUCGUUGCUUUAUUGGAAACCGGUAGAGACAAUUUUACGUCACAAUUUCUUAGCACUCUCUCUAGCCGUAUUGAAUUCGAUUGGCACUGUCUACCGCCCAGGGGAAGGUCGGGAGGGAUCUUACUUGGGGUACGUUGCGAGACUCUCGAGGUUCGGAAUGUAGUGUUCAGGGACUUCGCGGUAAAAUUUCGAGUGCGAUCGAAAGUGGAUGGGUUCGAGUGGGCACUUGUGGCUGUUUACGGGGCCGCCUAGCUAGAGUUAAAAAUGGAUUUCUUAGCCGACCUCGUCCGAAUCUAUGGGUAUGAGAGGUUACCGACUUUGGUUGGGGGAGACUUCAACAUAAUUAGGCGGAGGGAGGAAAAGAAUAAUGACAACUUCGAUGAAAGAUGGUCAUUUAUGUUUAACACUAUUAUCGAAAGCUUACACCUGUGAGAAAUUGAGAUUUCGGGUAGAAAGUUUACGUGGGCGAAUGCCUUGCCUACUCCAACUUUUGAGAAGUUAGACCGGAUUCUCACCAGUGUGGAUUGGGAAAAAAAAUUCCCUCUUGCAAUCGCUAGAGCUUUACCAAGAGCGAUCUCGGAUCACACACCUUUGCUUGUUGACUCUGGUGAUGCUACACAUGUGGGCAACAAGAAUACUUUCUCUUUCGAGAAGGCUUUGUGGACCUUAUAGCAAGAGAGUGGGCUAAGGCUGCUCGGGGCUCAUCGAAUGUUGAUCGAUGGCAGAGCAAAAUUAGGCACCUAAGACAGUUCUUAAGGGGAUCAGCCAAAUAGAGAGCGGGAGGUAUAAGAUUGAGAAAGAGAGACUCCUCAGUCUUAUUAAUGAGUUAGACUUAAAAGCCGAGUCAGCGUUGUUAGAUGACAAUGAGAGGUCAUCUAGAACACAAGAUGAAUUGAGUCUUAAACAACUUCUUCGAGAAGAAGAGUUGAAAUGGGCACUUAGAGCAAAAGUGUGUAACAUCGUAUAUGGGGAUGACAAUGCACAAUGCUUCCAUCUCAUUGCAAAUGGUAAACACCGAAAGAAAAGAAAUUUCCAACUAGAGCAAGACAAGGGUAAGAUUGUGGGCCACGAAAAUCUAAAGAUAUACAUCUCUGAGUUUUACAAACGUCUUUUUGGGGAGCCGGAUGACAAAUUUGUGUCAAUGGCCGAGCAGAUGGUGGGUGAUAUUCCUCGGCUCGGGGUGGACGAGAAUGAGAUAUUAACCGCACCGUUUACGGAGAAAGAGGUGUUUGAGGCAAUUUCGUAGAUGAAAAAUGAUAAGGCUCCAGGACCGGAUGGAUUCCUGGCUCAGUUUUAUAAGAGGUGUUGGCAUAUAGUGAAAGGGGACUUACUUCCAAUGUUUCAAGACUUAUUCAAUGGCCAACUCUAGCUUUUUCAACUUAACUUUGGGACAAUUUCAUUGUUGCCAAAGAAGGAGGAGGUGGUGCGGAUUGAACAGUUUCGACCAUUUGCCUUCUCAAUGUGAGUUUUAAGAUCUUUACUAAGGUCGGGACGAACAGAUUGUUGCGGAUUACGCAGGCGGUGGUGUAGCCUAGCCAGACUGCAUUCAUGCCGGAUAGAAACAUACUAGAGGGUGUGGUUGUCCUACAUGAAACACGGCAUGAGAUUCACUCGAAGAAGCUGGAUUGGGUGAUCUUCAAGGUGGAUUUUGAGAAGGCAUAUGACAAGGCUAAAUGGCCAUUCCUACAACAAGCCUUACGUGUGAAAGGAUUUGAUGAGGUGUGGAGGAAACACGUCGAAUCAUUCGUACAAAAAGGAAGUGUUGGAAUUAAAGUCAAUGAUGAUAUAUGGCAUUUCUUCCAAACACACAAAGGUCUUCGGCAGGGAGACUCAAUGUCACCCAUCCUAUUUAAUGUAGUUGCAGAUAUGUUGGCAAUACUUAUAGGGAAGGCUAAAGAGGAGGGCCGGAUAGGUGGAUUAGUACCUCAUCUAGUCGAUGGUGGUGUUUCCAACUUACAAUAUGCUGACGACACUAUUCUGUUCAUAGAACAUGAUAUUGCAAAAGCCAGAAACAUGAAACUCAUAUUGUGCUUAUUCGAACAGUUGUCGGGUCUGAAAAUUAAUUUUCACAAGAGUGAAGUGUUUUGCUUUGGGAGAGCCAAAGACGAACAAGGUUCAUAUAAACAACUGUUUAGAUGUGAAUCGGGAAGCCUACCGUUCAGAUAUUUAGGAAUUCCAAUUCACCACCAUAAGUUAUCAAACAAAGAAUGGAAAAGUGUUGAGGAUCGUUUUGAGAAAAAAAAAUAGUUGUUGGAAGGGUAAGCUAUUAUCAUACGGAGGAAGAUUGAUUCUCAUUAACUCGGUUCUCACGAGCAUGCCGAUGUUCCUUCUGUCCUUCUUUCUGGUACCGGUCGGGGUACGGAAAAGAUUGGACUUUUAUAGAUCACGCUUUUUCUGGCAGAGUGAUGAAGUUAAGCAAAAGUACCGGCUUACUAGGUGAGAUAUUAUUUGUAGACCUAAAGACCGGGAAGGUUUGGGGAUUCAAAAUUUAGAGAUAAAGAAUAGAUGUCUGCUAAGAAAAUGAUUGUUAAGACUUUCUCUGGAGGGGGAGGGUAUGUGGGUGCAAAUUUUGCAUAAUAAGUACUUACAAACUAAAACUCUACCUCAGGUUACCGUGAAACCCAAUGAUUCACCUUUUUGGAAAGGCUUAAUGACAGUGAAAGCAGCCUUCUUUCAAAAAGCAAAAUUUAUUGUAAGUGAUGGUAAGUCAAGGAGAUUCUGGGAGGAUACAUGGCUGGAGGAUACGCCCAGGACAGGCUUUGGCCCUAGGCGGACAUGGGCGGCGCCCAAGGGGCCAUGUUUUGCAGGGCCCAUCAUUAUAUAUGUAUACGUGCUUCUAUAUGUGUUGGAUUGUACCUCGGCCUUCUAUACGUCCUUGAGCCUAGUUGCGUCGCUUUGGGGUACGUACGCCUUGGCCUCCUGCCUAUUUCCUUGGCGCACGCAUACCUGGGCGUAACUUAUAUUCCCUCCGUCCCGAAAUAAGUGUCGUUGAUCUAGUAUAAAAUUUGUACUAACCUAGUACAAAUUUUGCGACACUUAUUUUGGGACGAAGGGAGUACCUGUUUGGCUGUUUCUUUCGACGCCUCGCCGCCUCGGCCUCCUGGCUUCGCCCCUUCUCCCGUUCGCCGCCCUUUGCGGCUUCUGUUUGGCAGUGGAGAUCAGCCAUGGUCUGCAGCUACAGUGGAGAUCGGCAGCUGUAGUGGAGAUCGGAAACUGCUUUAUUCAUGAAGAUUGCAGAGGAGCUAUUUGGAGAUCAGCAGAUUUUUUGUGAAGCACUGAAGUAUUGUUGUUCAUGAACUCAUAUGAACUUCGUUCUUAUUUGAGGUAAUUAAACUAGCAGCGAAUAUUAUUUUUAAAAUUUUGUUACUCUUUUAUUUAUUGUCAUCGUUAAAUUACAAUGUAUGGUCGAAUGUAAACUUUAAUAUUUUGCGUUUAUAUAUCUAUAAAUGCGUAUAUAUAUUAUCUAUAGGGGUCCAUUUUUUAACUUUGUCCAAGGGCCCCGAAUAAUAUAGAGCCGGCCAUGGAUAUGCCUCUAGCCAUACAAUAUCCAUCUCUUUAUAAUAUUGUUCAACGUAAGGAGGCAUACGUUGUCACAAUAUUACAGUCUAAUCCUUUAAAUAUUCAGUUUCGAAGAUCUUUAAUAGGUAAUAGAUGGGAGGCAUGGUUGCAUUUAGACAUUUCUAUUGUUUGGGACGUGGCUAAAUGGGGUAGACAUUUCUAUUGUCAGACAUAUUCGUAUAGGAGUAUGUGCAUUAAUUUGGGCUAUAUGGAAUUGCAUGAAUGAUGUGACUUUUGACAGAUUAUCAAAUGUCAAUUUCUUGCAGGUACUUCACACGGCAUUGGCGCUGAUCCGUAUAUGGUCGUUACUCACACCUGCGGAAACCAGGGAGCAUUUGGUUACUGGGUCUAUCCGAUGGGAGAUGGUAGCACUGGGUAUCUACAACCGGUUUGGAUGGUGGUCCAGUAAUAGGAUAGAUGGUUAGGUGUCUAUGUCUAUUUUUUAGUCGGUUGUGGCAUUUUUAUUAUCCCUUUGUGUAUUUCUUUAUUAUUUUUGGAGCUUGUUCGAAACUUCUCGAUGCUUUUUAAUUACUUAAAUGAAAUGACUGAAUGCAUCGUUUUGAUGCAGCGGUCGGAGGAAACCUUUUUUCUAUAUAAAAAAAACAGUUCUACCCAACCGCAUCCCACGGCCCUGUAGAUGGAACAAGCAAACAAAGCCCGUGGCGUCAAGAACGAGGGCGUACAGGCGCCCGCCGGACGCGUGUCGAGCCCCGACUGGCCGCCGGGUCGCCGCCACCGGGGCCCGCCGCCGGCGGUCCCCGGUCCGCCUCGCAUGGUCCGCCCUCCGCCCCUCGUCGCUGUCCGGAGAGAGGGAGGGAGAAAAAGAUGAACAUCACGUCUCGCAGUCGCAUCCAUCCAUCCACGCUUGACCUUCCGCUGCUGCUGCUACUUUGAACCCUCUCCACAAUCGGCCACAAGUGGAUAAUGGGCGAGGGAUCCGCGCCAACUUGUUCCGGAAAAGAAACAGCGACGGCGAGCCACGAUCGCGCACGCGCGCCAUCCGUCCCCGUUUUUCCUCACCUUUCUCCGCACGAAACCGCCGUCGCCGUCGCCGUCGACAAAUCAUGCGUGCUCUUAUCGCCGGUCAGAUGAUUUUUUUAUCGCCCCGGCCGUGCCGUGCCGUGCCGUGGAAUGGAAUGGAAUGGAAUUAGCCCCGUUUUCUUGUGCGGCGAUCGAAUUAGCUGGCCACCUGUAGAAAUUUUGUUUGCGAGUAGUUCCGGUCAGUCAGUGUGAAGAUCGGGCCAGGGAGAAGGAGCGAUUACUAGUAGCCAAAUUUCCAGCCCUGGUUUAAUAUGUGUGCAACAGCGACGUGCGUGGUCCACGGCGCUCCACGGAGGCCGGCGUCAGCACGAUGCGGCUUUGCUUUCGUUGAUUUGAUUAGAAUUAUGGGCCGGCUCAACAUCAUCUUCCUUGCUAAUACUACAGAUAGGAGUAGGAACUUUCUUUCGCGCAUACAUAAAUAGGUGUUGUUGACAAGUACCAACACCCCACAUGGUAUGAUUUGAUUUCCCCUCCCAUAAACUAGGAGCAUCGCUCACCUGGUUUGUGACCGAACGAUGUCAUUGGACAGGACGCGUACACUCAACUUCAAUUCAAGAUAUACAAUGACAAUAUACACACCUUUGAGGCCAUUUUCCGCACCCAUCCCCCUCUCUCUAACCAAUACCCGAAAUCCACCCGCCUCCGUAGACGCGCCUCCACAAGGCUAUCCAUCCGCUUUCACUGCAUCUCCUGUCGUCGACGAGUUGCAUGGCAGGCCAGAGUCGACGCUGCGCUCGCCCCCAUAAGGUUGCACGUAGUUGCUUUACCCUUCCUCCUCCUCCCUCCUAAUUGUCACGGAUUCAUCGAAGAUGCGUCGGGAUAUGGAGCACGUGGUGCGACAGAGAUUCCCUAACGAGUCGGAGUAGUCGGAGCUCGUCGACGUCAUUCGUCUCUCCAUUGGCGGAGCCACGCUAGUAGUAGCUGGAAAUACCCAUAUCAAUAGCGCUGGUGGCAGUGCUACUGAUAAGGCGCUACAACUAAGUUUUAACAGUAGCGCUCUUCAACCAGCGCAACUGGUAAGUAUAGUUAGCAAUAGCGCUGCACGGAACAGCGCUGCUACUAACUAUCUGUAGUGUUGCCCAUAACAAGCGUUGCUGAUAAUCCAGCGCUCCUGCCAGCACUAGUAGAAAACACACCUUUCGUCCGUACCUUUAGUCCCGGUUUGAUUUCGGCCCGGGACUAAUAUGACCAUUAGUCCCGGUUCCAACGGCUAGGAGCGGUCGGUGGCACGGGCACCUUUAGUCCCGGUUCAUCUUGUACCUAUAGUCUCGGUUUGUGAGACAAACCGAGACUAAAGGUGUGGUGGGCUGGUGGCACGCGAGCGUCAGGCUGGGCCCCCCAUGAGCCCAUUUAGUCCCGGUUUGUAUAACUAACCGGUUUGUAUCACAAACCGGGACUAGAUGGAUCCAUUUAGUCCCGUUUGGUUAUACAAACCGGGACUAGAGGGAUUCAUUUAGUCCCGUUUGGUUAUACAAACCGGGACUAAAGAUCUUUCUAUAUAAGCCCUUCGUCCAGACCGAGCCCAUUUAUCUGUUUUCUCAAUUCCUCUCUAUGUUCUUCCCCUUAGCUCGAGCUCAUCCUCCAUUUUUUUGCCAAGAUUUGUCAAGAUUUGGGACACCCCAUCUCUCCAAGUGUUCACAAUGGUUAGCAACUUUGUCCUUUCAUCUCUCAUUGGUAUAUUAGCUCAUGCAAUGCUCUAUAAGUAUAGUGAUUUGUGGGUUUUGGUUUGGGGAGUAAUUUUAUAGGAGUUUAUCUGAUUUAUGUGCAAUCUGAGCUAAAAUUAACUUCUUAGUGCCUUCCUGUCCCCGUCCUAACCACCAUUGAUCGUUCGUACCGUCCCAUCGCCGGCACCACCUUGGAGAUGGGUUCAUCGUGUGGGAUAAUUGCGCUCGCAUACCCACCUCCGGGAGCGUUGCUGCGUGGGGUUCGCCCUCCACGCCAUCACUAAGCUCGCCUCGUCCAAAUAGGUGGACAACACAGGCCCCUACCUCAGUUUCAUCUACUCAUCAGGCGGGACCAAGGAUUCACUGCUUCAACGUUGAACCGCCCCUAGCCUAGGGACCGAGGUGAGCUCCCAAUCCGUCUAUCCUGAUUGCGUAGAGAUCGAAUAGAUGCAUUUCGUAAUUGCGAUUUCCUCACUUCACCAAUCGACCGCUAUCCAACAUGCAUCUAUGUUAUUAAGUUCAUAACAAACAAAGUAAUUCUUGGAGCAUGAUGACAUAAUGUAGACAAAAUAAGAUCAAUUAAUAUGUUCAAACCCCGUCAUUUUAUCCUUAGUAGCAACAAUACAAAUAUGUGUCUCGCUACUAAUGGUGUCACAGAGUGAGGGCACCGCAAUAUUGGACCUACUACUAUGCAUCACUUCCUAUGAAGAUAUACUCAUCAACUUGCCAAAGAAAACUCAUAGAUCGGAAGGCAUAUAUAGCUACAUGAAAUCACACAUAAUAAAUCUAUGAAUAGACCCAAUUACUUUCAAUGAAUAAUCCAAUCAUAAACUCACAAUUCAUCGGAUCCCAACAAACACACCGCAAAGAUUACAUCGAAUAGGUCUUCAAAGAGAUAAUUGUAUUGUAGAGAGAGAGGGGGGGAGGGAGAAAGGGAGGGAGUAAGAGAGAGAGGGACAGGGCAGAGGAGGGAGGCAGAGGGAGAGAGAGGGGGGAAAGGGAGGGAGAGAGAGAGAGAUGUUGGAAAUUUUCCCUAGAGGCUCUAUGAUAAACCAAUUGAAGAUAUUGUGCUUUGAUGCUCAAGUUGUGUUGCUACUCUGAUGUUUAAGGGAGGGAGAGGGGGGGACAGAGAGAGUUUUUGUCCAACGUGGUACUUUGCAAAGCAAGUACCACCUAGGCUCCUCCAUUUGAGCUGCAAUUUUGUCAAGACAGUCUCCUUAGUAGAUGAUCAUCAUCAACCAAAACUUAGGCCCAUUGGCCAUGUGCAUUUCCCCCAUCACUAAUAAAACAACUGGCUGCUAAUUCAUGUUUGAGCUUAGUUCAAUCUCCUCGUGAGAUUCUUCUGUUGUCAUUUUCUUCCUAACAUCUAUCGGUGGAGUGCCUAACCCACCAUACAUGCCUAGGACGCCCAGAAUGCGUGGCAAUACCACACUCACGCGAUUGGCAUGCUAAUUUACGCGCUCUAGAGUUGGGGCCCUCGGCCACUGUCUACGCGUUUGUGGGAGUUCUUGAGAGAAACUCUACCAGGUUUACUCGCUCUCGCUCUUUUGACCAAAGAAAAUCAUGAUUCGAGCAAGUCUUGAGCAUUUCCCCAUGAACUUAUUACUCUUAGAGGUUGAAAUCUUUUAGGCUGUAGGAGUUCUUCGAAGAGGAAACAUUCGGUGUGAUUAUCCGUGAAAAUUUUGUGAAGGUUUGAAGAUCACUUCAAGGCCUAUCACUAAUGGUUGAGAAUCGCCUCAUGGUGACAUGUCAAGGGAAGAAUAGGGUGAGACUUCGUGACGUUGGUGUGUCUUCAUGGUAGCAUCCACCCCUCUAAGGGUGACCGGCUUCCCUCCAAGAAAGUGAACAUCAUGAAUUCAUGAUACAUCUUUGUCCGUGGAGUUUUGGUUAUCCCUAAAUCUAACUCUCUACUUGUGGUUGUUUGUCUUUUGUCUUUCGCCUUUACUCAUAUCAUAUUGUGGUUGCUUGCAUCAUCUUGCAAUUGUUAGGAUCACAUUCAUAUUUCACAUAAUUUUCUAAGUUGCUAAAUAAUAAUUAAAUUUAUAACUUUACCUAUUCAUUUUUCUAGGUCCAUCUCGAUCUUUUGACUGACAAGGUGUCGUUGGAAAGAGAAGAAUUCUACAAAAGAAAACUCUUGUGCGUUGAUUUCAGCAGUCUUAAAAUAAUGUGUCGGUUCAGUCUAUCGAAGAUGCUCUUAUUAAAAAUCUGUCGGACCGGUUAAAACCGCAAUCUGGUAAAAAAAUCGAAAUUUACAUGUAAUGACAGAGAGAGAAGGAAGGCAAAAAAGAAAAGAAAAAAAGGUUGCGCUCGUAAAAAGGUUGGUUGUAGGAGCAGCAGCAGUGUGCAGUUCCCUGUCGCGACUGUCGUACGAAUAUCACGUGGAAACGCGGAUACAUAUGGCUGUGGUUCCUCCUCCUCCACCCCGCGGUCCCCUCUGCCGCUGCACCGCUCCGCCCCGCCCGCCUGCUACUGCUACUGCUACCUGCACCCGCACCCACACCCAUCCCUCCUCCUCCACUUGACCCGGUGCCGGUGGUACCACCUCCUCCCAAGGCAGCAGCGGAUACAUACGAAGCGGGAGCUAUAGCCCGCGCGCGCAGGCCUGUUCGGCCAUGGCGUACCAGUACCACCACCACCAGGACCACGCGCUGGGGAUGGACGCGGCGGCGGCGGCGGCGGCGGGGGGGAACCCUGGCGGCGGCGGCUUCGCGCCGGGCUUAAGCGCGGGCGGCGCGUGGGAGGGGGAGAAGGCGGCCGUCGAGGCGCACCCGCUGUACGAGCGGCUGCUGGNNNNN
This 40829-nucleotide long non-coding RNA is filed under the name Hordeum vulgare. RNAcentral's name for it is "long non-coding RNA (HVUL_LNC020593)". The stretch from base 749 to 835 matches the Rfam family "MIR1120/MIR1122 microRNA precursor family". Lineage: Eukaryota; Viridiplantae; Streptophyta; Magnoliopsida; Poales; Poaceae. The record is from RNAcentral.